Non-coding RNA from Mycena metata, 89 nucleotides. The record is from the annotation of a GenBank genome assembly. Lineage: Eukaryota; Fungi; Basidiomycota; Agaricomycetes; Agaricales; Mycenaceae.
GCCGUUGUGGGCCACGGAGGCUGCCCCACAUCAAUUAUUGAAUGCGGUGGUUGAAUGGGGAGGUGGAGGUUCGAUUCCUCCUGACGGCA